GAGAGAGACAGAGAGACAGAGAGACAGAGAGAGUGGUGUUUUGAUAGCAGUUCUUUUCGUUUUCUUUUAUGUGGCUUAACAAGCAAUAUGUCGUUUGCCAGCUCCAGGAGAUCAAUCAUAUACUCUUCUUCUCUGGCAGUACUGGUGGUGUUCCUCAUCUUUGUGUUGCAGAUUUGGAUGUGCAGUGAGUGCAAGGCAGGAGCUAUUCGGAUAUUUCCAGACAAUGGCAUUCCUCCAAAUCUAAAACCGAAAAAUAUCAGUACUACUGAUAAUAAGGCCAGCAAAGAAGACCUAUUUCAUAAGUUCUUCAAUGGAAGGACUUCCAGUUUCAACACGAGUAAGAAAGGAUUUGAAGAGAACAAAAGAAGAGUGCCCAGUUGCCCAGAUCCUCUCCACAACUAGUAUAAUUACUCGAUUUCCCUUUAUUUUUUCCUUUAAUCUUAUCCAAAAUACCCACGUUUUUCCCAUAAUUUUCGAGCUGGUAUUCUGGCUGGUUUUAGUAAUUUUAAAGGGAAAAAGGGGGGUAUUUUGGCAUCUUUAUUCUUCUUUUUUUUUUUUU
Molecule: unclassified non-coding RNA, 559 nt
Filed under: Hevea brasiliensis (rubber tree)
Lineage: Eukaryota; Viridiplantae; Streptophyta; Magnoliopsida; Malpighiales; Euphorbiaceae
Source: RNAcentral